AUGCAAGUCGAGCGGGGGAAGGUAGCUUGCUACUGGACCUAGCGGCGGACGGGUGAGUAAUGCUUAGGAAUCUGCCUAUUAGUGGGGGACAACAUCUCGAAAGGGAUGCUAAUACCGCAUACGUCCUACGGGAGAAAGCAGGGGAUCUUCGGACCUUGCGCUAAUAGAUGAGCCUAAGUCGGAUUAGCUAGUUGGUGGGGUAAAGGCCUACCAAGGCGACGAUCUGUAGCGGGUCUGAGAGGAUGAUCCGCCACACUGGGACUGAGACACGGCCCAGACUCCUACGGGAGGCAGCAGUGGGGAAUAUUGGACAAUGGGGGGAACCCUGAUCCAGCCAUGCCGCGUGUGUGAAGAAGGCCUUAUGGUUGUAAAGCACUUUAAGCGAGGAGGAGGCUACUUUAGUUAAUACCUAGAGAUAGUGGACGUUACUCGCAGAAUAAGCACCGGCUAACUCUGUGCCAGCAGCCGCGGUAAUACAGAGGGUGCGAGCGUUAAUCGGAUUUACUGGGCGUAAAGCGUGCGUAGGCGGCUUAUUAAGUCGGAUGUGAAAUCCCCGAGCUUAACUUGGGAAUUGCAUUCGAUACUGGUGAGCUAGAGUAUGGGAGAGGAUGGUAGAAUUCCACGUGUAGCGGUGGAAUGCGUAGAGAUCU
RNAcentral lists this ribosomal RNA (650 nucleotides) under Acinetobacter baumannii OIFC189. RNAcentral describes it as "bacterial SSU rRNA". It matches the Rfam family "Bacterial small subunit ribosomal RNA", at positions 55 to 699 of the family's 1533-position model. Lineage: Bacteria; Pseudomonadati; Pseudomonadota; Gammaproteobacteria; Moraxellales; Moraxellaceae. The record is from RNAcentral.